UUCAUAAUGUAAUGGGAAUGAGAGUGUGAUUGUGAUGAAGUUCGCUUGCACUGAGAAUUGAACCUGGGCCAUCUAGUCUGACAUCAGGAUCAUUACCAUAAGACUAGAAUAUCUAAACCAGCUGAGCUGGCUGGUAAACAUUUCUACACACCUAACACCCCACAUGUAUUGAUGCCUAUCAUGCAAGUAACAGGUGUGUGAUUUAUUGCAGCAUUUCUCCUAGAACCAGUACUGCUAUUCGGAAACAGAGUGGCAUGUUAAAGUCUAUACAGUAAUGGACAUCCUGGUUGACAGAUAUCUCUGCAGACUCUGUUAUAACAGACUCAUCAAUGUAUUAUUACAUGGAAGAGUAGUGUGUUAUCAGAAAAUAAAUAUAGCCCUAUACCAGUACUUAGGCUAAAUGCCAAAGUUGAGGACACAUGGAUGGAUCGUUGACGUUGCUGCCUUUUUUUUUUUUUUUCUUUUUUUUGUUGAAAUCAUGAAUGCGCUUCUGAUAGACCUUCAUUUCAACACUUUCGUUCGUAAAGAUUCUUAAAAACAAAUAAGUUUAAAUGUAAAUGUGUUUCUUUUUGUUACAAUGUAUCAUACUUACGUGAAAUAUCUAGAUCCCACACACACAAAAAAUAACCAAAAGCUUUCGUUACGCUUUAUAACACUUCAUAACAUUUGUUUACGUUGGAUUCGGGGUGUUCGUUUUUAAUGAAGUUGUUCUGUAUAUUAUUCGCCCUACUCAUUCGCAGAUGAUUUUACCCCCCCCCCCCCCC
Molecule: long non-coding RNA, 764 nt
Organism: Ostrea edulis (European flat oyster)
Lineage: Eukaryota; Metazoa; Mollusca; Bivalvia; Ostreida; Ostreidae
Exons: 2
Source: RefSeq, a predicted model, not a curated record